This is a long non-coding RNA of Ruditapes philippinarum (Manila clam), 422 nucleotides long. RefSeq lists it as uncharacterized. The record is from RefSeq and is a predicted model, not a curated record. NCBI's taxonomy places the organism in Eukaryota, Metazoa, Mollusca, Bivalvia, Venerida, Veneridae. The transcript has 3 exons.
GUUUUUAACCGCAUGCUUAUUUGCGAGGUAUUUUAAAUGUAAUUAAAUUUCUUUAAAUAAGUUUUCGAAUUUAUAAGGAAUAAUAAAAAAUUAAAAUUACAGUCGCAUACACCGAAAAAUGGCUAGACACGUGUUCAUGGGCUACUAUUACUGUAACAGCAAUCAUAGUCAUAGCUCGAAGACAGAGAUGUACCAGUGCAAUCAAAUGGAAUCAGAAAAAGCGAAAUUUGAACAAGAAAAGGAACGAGAGCAAAUGAGAUAUGAACAGGAAAUGCAGAAAAUGAAAUUAGAAGCGGAAAGGAAGUAAGAAUUAACUUAUAUAGUUUCUGCAAAUAAAAUUAAAUUUUAAAAAAUAUUUCAUGAAUUGGAAUGAGCUUCGCCUUGGAUGAAAUGCCAAAAUAUGUUUAUAUUUCAGAGGCCAA